UCGAACGAACUCUGGUAUUGAUUGGUGCUUGCAUCAUGAUUUACAUUUGAGUGAGUGGCGAACUGGUGAGUAACACGUGGGAAACCUGCCCAGAAGCGGGGGAUAACACCUGGAAACAGAUGCUAAUACCGCAUAACAACUUGGACCGCAUGGUCCAAGUUUGAAAGAUGGCUUCGGCUAUCACUUUUGGAUGGUCCCGCGGCGUAUUAGCUAGAUGGUGGGGUAACGGCUCACCAUGGCAAUGAUACGUAGCCGACCUGAGAGGGUAAUCGGCCACAUUGGGACUGAGACACGGCCCAAACUCCUACGGGAG
Molecule: ribosomal RNA, 313 nt
Filed under: Lactiplantibacillus plantarum
Lineage: Bacteria; Bacillati; Bacillota; Bacilli; Lactobacillales; Lactobacillaceae
Description: bacterial SSU rRNA
Rfam family: Bacterial small subunit ribosomal RNA
Source: RNAcentral